GAAAUGCGAUAAGUAAUGUGAAUUGCAGAAUUCAGUGAAUCAUCGAAUCUUUGAACGCACAUUGCGCCCCCUGGCAUUCCGGGGGGCAUGCCUGUCCGAGCGUCAUUACACCUCUCAAGCACUGCUUGGUGUUGGGCCGCGCCCCUUGGGGCCGGCCCGAAAGCCAGCGGCGGCGUCCCCGACCCCCAGCGUUGCAAUUCUCGCGCCGGGCGGCGGUGGCGCCUGCCAGAACCCAACUUCUCAAGGUUGACCUCGGAUCAGGUAGGGAUACCCGCUGAACUUAA
Molecule: unclassified non-coding RNA, 284 nt
Filed under: uncultured Ascomycota
Lineage: Eukaryota; Fungi; Ascomycota
Description: sequence contains ITS1
Rfam family: 5.8S ribosomal RNA (bases 1-105)
Source: RNAcentral